RNAcentral lists this ribosomal RNA (460 nucleotides) under uncultured bacterium. Its description in RNAcentral is "partial 16S ribosomal RNA". It matches the Rfam family "Bacterial small subunit ribosomal RNA", at positions 338 to 795 of the family's 1533-position model. The record is from RNAcentral.
CCUACGGGAGGCAGCAGUGAGGAAUAUUGGUCAAUGGCCGUAAGGCUGAACCAGCCAAGUCGCGUGAAGGAAGAAGGAUCUAUGGUUUGUAAACUUCUUUUAUAGGGGAAUAAAGGUAUCCACGUGUGGAUAUUUGCAUGUACCCUAUGAAUAAGCAUCGGCUAACUCCGUGCCAGCAGCCGCGGUAAUACGGAGGAUGCGAGCGUUAUCCGGAUUUAUUGGGUUUAAAGGGUGCGUAGGUUGUUUUUUAAGUCAGCGGUGAAAGUUUGUGGCUCAACCAUAAAAUUGCCGUUGAAACUGGAAGACUUGAGUGUGUUUGAGGUAGGCGGAAUGCGUGGUGUAGCGGUUAAAGGCAUAGAUAUCACGCAGAACUCCGAUUGCGAAGGCAGCUUACUAAGCCAUAACUGACACUGAAGCACGAAAGCGUGGGGAUCAAACAGGAUUAGAUACCCUGGUAGUC